Long non-coding RNA from Syngnathus acus (greater pipefish), 2708 nucleotides. RefSeq lists it as uncharacterized. The transcript is spliced from 3 exons. Lineage: Eukaryota; Metazoa; Chordata; Actinopteri; Syngnathiformes; Syngnathidae. The record is from RefSeq and is a predicted model, not a curated record.
UGGUUGCUAAACAUAAUUCAAGAGUUCCAAAAGCACCUGCAGGAGUGUGUGGGAAAUAAACUUUCACACUCAGAUGGCCCCUCCCCACCUUUGACCCUCCCCUUCUAAUCACCAUGUAUAUUCAAAGCAUCUGUAGAUUGCAGGCUUUGUGUUUAACUGGCUGUGACAAAGCAAGCAGUGUUUCAGGAAACUGACUGAACGGUCGAGAGAGUAGCCCAAAUAAAGGAGCCUAAGAGAAGUAGAGAGACAGAGAGUGACACAGACUGACAACAGGACACACAUUUCCCAACGGAUACAGAGAGAGCAUUCCAUGUGAGGACAAUAGUGGGACAAAAAUGCUCAGAAGGAGAAGCCUGUCAUUUGGUGGUUUUGGAUGGAUUGACAAGCCCACCUUGUCAGCAUUGAAAUCCCGGACCUUAUCAGUCAAAAACAUACACACAAGACAUUGCUGCAGAGCAGCACUGCAACUAAUCAUGUGGAAUGGACACAAAAAUGGAUUAUCUGAUCAUAAAUCUUCCUAAUGCAUCCAUAGAUGAGCACCACUUGAGAUGUCUCAAAUUGUGAUCUUCCAGAGAAAAUGUGUAGACGCUGCACGUUAUCGUUUGUUUAAUUUGCAUUAAAUGUAGUCAUCCGUUCACUUUAGCAUGCACGGUGGAAUCAAGAUGGCGCAGAAGCGACUCGUACAGUUACAGUAUAUCAGUAAGAUGAUCUUUUUAAUUGAGGCAAUUAGUUCUUUGUGAAACUAAUUAUUCCCCUCACGGAAGUAACCUCAUGAAUAUUUCACAUAUUCCAGAUCACACACAUGCAGCAUGCAAGGGUUUAUUAUGAGACCACCCCGCUUCAUAUUAUUUUACAUCCUCCAUGUUGUGUGUAGACUUUGUUUUUCUUGUUUGUAUUUAUCUUUGAAUUUUACCAAACAGACCAGAAGGCUGAGCCACAGAUUUGUUUUCUCCUCACAUUGCAAAUGUCACCUUGCACUUUCGUCAUUAUGCAUGUGCUGCUAAUUAGCUAACACUUGCCACAAGUUAUUUACACACUGCUCAGGCCCGCCUCAACUGAAACUCACACUGGAGCAUACUGAUUAAAAUUUAUGCGCAUGUGUUGGUUUUUCCUCACUGCUUUUCAAGAAUAAGGAUACAGUAAGAUGACCUUUGCUCCGAUGUGAAUUUUAAUAAGCCUUUUUUUAAAUCCAUCACUUUGCAUCAUGGACGGACAUUCAUAUUUUUUCCACUUCCUUUGAAUUUGUGUACAAUACGCUUUCUCGUAAGAAUGGUAAUUUACUGAAUUAAUUAUCUGGUUACCGAGUAUGCUUCACUGUUGUGCUUUGCCUCAAUCAGUGUUUUUGACCGAUAAUUUGCCUUACAAAUUAGUUUACUCCAGGAUAAUUUAUACCAACCUCCUGACCCACUUCUGUGACUUGACUGGAGGAAGAUGUUUCUCCUUUGAGAAGCUCUAACCUCAGGUUAUCGUCCUCUAGCCUAGUUUUUUCGGGGAGAAGGCGGGUGUAAAUGUUACCUUCCUGGCCGCAUCAUGGAAAAGAGCAAAUGUGCUGUUGCUAUUUCUGGAGCAUGGCAUUUACUCUGUGUCCUGGCCCACCUUCUGUAUUGCACGGAAUAAUGCCAAUUUAUGGCUAUUGAACAAACAUAGGACGUAAUAUCUACUGCUGUCAUGUUUACUCGAGAUGAUUUAAUAAAGCCCACAGCAAGCAACGCUUUCUUCCACAGAGGCUGCGUGUUGUCUUAAUGAACUCUUGGGUGAUUACUUUUAGUUUAUUUAGAGCUUUUGUGAAGACUGUGUACACAGUGCUACUGUUUGACCAACCAAAUGAAGACAACAUGAAAAGAGGAAGACGACUCGAGAACAAGGAUAGCGUUCAAAUAAAAUAGUUUUUAACAGCCAGACUUAUGCAUGUGUGUGUUAAAUUUCUACUUAAUACACUUGAGUACAUGUGAGAUUAAAAUAUUGUGGUUUCAAGUUGCAAAGAUAAUUCUUGAAGUGUAUGGGAAGUGGUAAAGCUCCACCCAUCCUCAAACGUCCAAAGGGAGGAUGUUGCACUUCCUCUCUUUUCACACCUCCUUUUCUAAGAAACAGAAAGCAUAAUAGAGAACGUUUAGGUACUCAUUUGAUUGCCUGUUUUUUUUGUUUUCAAAUUCCCUUAUAAUUGCAUAUUUGAUACGCAAGUCACACAGGCAAGGUCAUGAUUUUAUUGAAAGGCUAUUACAGUGUUGCGCCUCUUGAGGCCCUCAGUGUAUAGAUAUACAAUUUGCUGAGGAAAUGACUUUGCACCGCUAGAGGGCAGUGUUCACUUGUAUUUUUCUUCCCACCUGUUGAGGUUAACAUGGGUAGCAGGACUGCACAAACAAAAACUGACUAAUUUUAACUGUAAAGUACUAAACCCAUUGAAAUAGACUUUUUUUUUUUUUUUGCUUUAGAGGCUGAUUAAUUUGUUUUGAACCUGCUUUGCUUUUACAGCACAAAAACUAGAGCACAAACGUUACAUCAAGAUGUACUUACAGUACUUUAGAUUUAAAAAUAUUAUUGUAUUUACUCUGAUAAUAAAUGCACAGCAAAGUGUUGUUGUUUGUACUUAAAACAGCUUCAUUGAAUGGUACUAUAGGGAGUUAAGUCUGUUGCCAUGGCAGCAAGAACUGAUAGUCUUCUCGUAUGAUUCAUUUCCAUGGUGAUGGGUCAGUUGCAGCCUCUUUUUA